This 466-nucleotide ribosomal RNA is filed under the name uncultured bacterium. RNAcentral's name for it is "partial 16S ribosomal RNA". It matches the Rfam family "Bacterial small subunit ribosomal RNA", at positions 28 to 507 of the family's 1533-position model. The record is from RNAcentral.
GACGAACGCUGGCGGCGCGCCUAACACAUGCAGGUCGAACGAGCGAGAGAGAGCUUGCUUUCUCAAGCGAGUGGCGAACGGGUGAGUAACGCGUGAGGAACCUGCCUCAAAGAGGGGGACAACAGUUGGAAACGACUGCUAAUACCGCAUAAGCCCACAGGUCGGCAUCGACCAGAGGGAAAAGGAGCAAUCCGCUUUGAGAUGGCCUCGCGUCCGAUUAGCUAGUUGGUGAGGUAACGGCCCACCAAGGCAACGAUCGGUAGCCGGACUGAGAGGUUGAACGGCCACAUUGGGACUGAGACACGGCCCAGACUCCUACGGGAGGCAGCAGUGGGGAAUAUUGCACAAUGGGGGAAACCCUGAUGCAGCGACGCCGCGUGGAGGAAGAAGGUCUUCGGAUUGUAAACUCCUGUUGUUGAGGAAGAUAAUGACGGUACUCAACAAGGAAGUGACGGCUAACUACGUG